Molecule: ribosomal RNA, 299 nt
Filed under: uncultured bacterium
Lineage: Bacteria
Description: partial 16S ribosomal RNA
Rfam family: Bacterial small subunit ribosomal RNA
Source: RNAcentral
AUACGGAAGGUCCGGGCGUUAUCCGGAUUUAUUGGGUUUAAAGGGAGCGCAGGCGGAGAUGCAAGCGUGACGUCAAAUUUCGGGGCUCAACCCCGUCUCGCGUCGCGAACUGCGUCCCUUGGUUGCGGGAAGGGGAGGCGGAACUCGUGGUGUAGCGGUGAAAUGCAUAGAUAUCACGAAGAACUCCGAUCGCGAAGGCAGCCUUCCGGCCCGUCAACGACGCUUAUGCUCGAAGGUGCGGGUAUCAAACAGGAUUAGAUGCCCUGGUAGUCCGCACAGUAAACGAUGGACACCCGCGG